Molecule: non-coding RNA, 1156 nt
Organism: Xyrichtys novacula (pearly razorfish)
Lineage: Eukaryota; Metazoa; Chordata; Actinopteri; Labriformes; Labridae
Source: the annotation of a GenBank genome assembly
GGGUAUCAGGUUAUGGGGCUAUGGUAAGGUUUAAGGUUUUUGGCGUUAGGGUUAAAAUCACUGUCCAAAACCUUUGUAGGAACUCUUUUCCAAACACGGAGUCAGUUAGACCAAAAAAAAAAUGAAAAAUGAAAUUAAAAAAUAUUUGGGGUGUUCAGGCUUCCUGAAGGUAAUACCCGGGUAUUAGGUUAUGGGGCUUAGGAAAUGUUUAAGGUUUUUGGCGUUAGGGUUAAAAUCACUGUCCAAAACCUUUGUAGGAACUCUUUUCCAACCUUUUGGAGUUAGGUUGACCAAAAAAAAAAAGAAAAAAGAAAAAAAAUGUAUUUGGGGUGUUCGGGCUUCCUGAAGGUAAUACCCGGGUAUUAGGUUAUGGGGCUUUGGAAAGUUUUAGGGUUUUUGGCAUCAGGGUUAAAAUCACUGUCCAAAAACCUUUGUAGGAACUCUUUUCCAACCUUUUGGAGUUAGUUAGACCAAAAAAAAAAGAAAAAAGGAAUAAAAAAUAUUUGGGGUGUUCGGGCUUCCUGAAGGUAAUACCCGGGUAUUAGGUUUUGGGGCUAGGGUAAGGUUUGAGGUUUUUGGCAUUAGGGUUAAAAUCACUGUCCAAAACCUUUUUAGGAACACCUUUCAGACCUUUUGGAGUUUGUACACCAAAAAAAAAAUGUAAAAUGAAAAAAAAAAAUUUGGGGUGUUCGGGCUUCCUGAAGGUAAUACCCGGGUAUCAGGUUAUGGGGCUAUGGUAAGGUUUAAGGUUUUCGGCGUUAGGGUUAAAAUCACUGUCCAAAACCCUUUUAGGAACUCUUUUCCAAACUUUUGGAGUUUGUACACCAAAAAAAAAAUGUAAAAUGAAAAAAAAAAAUUUGGGGUGUUCGGGCUUCCUGAAGGUAAUACCCGGGUAUCAGGUUAUGGGGCUAUGGUAAGGUUUAAGGUUUUUGGCGUUAGGGUUAAAAUCACUGUCCAAAACCUUUGUAGGAACUCUUUUCCAAACUUUUGGAGUCAGUUAGACCAAAAAACAAUGAAAAAUGAAAUAAAAAAUAUUUGGGGUGUUCAGGCUUCCUGAAGGUAAUACCCGGGUAUUAGGUUAUGGGGCUUAGGAAAUGUUUAAGGUUUUUGGCGUUAGGGUUAAAAUCACUGUCCAAAACCUUUGUAGGAACUGUUU